UUACGCAUAAUGGACUACUCGAACGUGUUAUUCGGAUAUCAGAUGAAGGAGAUAUCAUCAGAUUUGUUUGAAGGGCAAAAUGACUCCAGACCGAGUGGUUGCCCAUAUCAAUGUUGUGGGUGCCUUAAUAAUAUUGGUCGGUCUUAUCUACACGUAUCGAGAGGAUAAACUCUCAUUUUCUCUUUACUUUCUUCUUCAUUCUUCUUUCAUCUUCUUCUCUUCUGUUCUUCUUCAUCGAUUUUCUGUGAGAGUUUGAGUAAGAUUUGAUUGAGGAAAACCAACUGGUAGUACUGAUAAAUGAUUGAGAAGAUGGUGUGGUCGUUAAUUGGGAAGCAGAACAACUAGGGUUUGAAUCAGAGAGUCGGAAUUAGGGUUUGUAGUUACGAUUGUGGUUCUGAAGAGUUAGAAGAUGAUAUUUGGAGCUAUGGAUAGAUGAAGAAUCUUGGGUAGAUGUCUAAUUGGGGUUUUGAAGUUAAACCAGUGAUGAAUCAGAAAAUUAGGAAUUAGGGUUCGUCCUGUUCUUCCCCAAAUCGUGAAAUUAGGGUUCUUGAGUCUCAAUCACAGGUAAAGAAGAUGUAUUGAAGGUUAAGAAGAAAUUUAAAGGAUGGGUUUGUUAGAUUUGAAGUUUUGGUUGAUGUUCUAAGUUUGAAUUAGAGAAAAGAUGAUUUGAGAUUGAGAACUGAUGAUGAGGAUUGAGGGGUUGUUAUUGUUAAUAUUGAGAUGAUGUUGAAUGAACCGAGUUGGUGGGUUGUUGUAGUUUCAAGAAGAAUUGAAGAAUCGAUUCAAAACAAGAAGAUGAGCUGAUCCCAAUUUUGCUGGAAUGGAACUAUUUGAGGUAAUUGUUUCUCUAAGUAAAUUAGUAUGGCUCUGAUAAGAAUUAAAUGAAUUGAAUUCAGUAAGAUGGGAUUGAUUAUGAAGAUGUGUUGUUGGCAAUGAGAUGUUGAGAAUGUUGUUUGUUUAUGUAUAUGGAUAUACAGAGAGUUGUUUUGAUUGUGAAUAUUAAGAUUGGAAAUGGGUUAUUGAGAAUUGAUGGAUUUUGCUGGAAUUAUAGUUGUUGAAGAUGGUGUUAGUAUUGAGUCUUGAAUGGGUUGGUGAUGUUUGUGUUAAGUUACAGCUGCAAGUUAUGGAGAUAUGGCUGAAGUUUAUUUGGAAUGGUAAUAAUUGGUUGGUACUGUUAUGAUGCAGGGAACUUGGGUCUGUGAUUUGAGGUCACAAUAAAUCUGAGGAGAUGAGUUAAAUAUAAAAGGUGUUGUUGCUACAGAGAACAAUAUAGGUGGUAAUGAGUUGUUACGUAGGAAUGAGGUUUGCUAUGAAGUUACAGGUAUUCAAUUUAAAGUUGUGAUGUUGUUAGAGACUAUUGAGCAUUACAGAGUUGAGAUGAAUUGGAGUGAAUAGAACUAGAGCUACAAGUAGUUAUGGAAGGUGAUGGUGAUUAGCUGAAGUAUUGAUUGUAUUGAAUGAGAGUUAGAUGAAUGUGAUGAAGUUGAGUUGGUAGUCUGUAGAAAGGGUGAAAGCUUGGAACUGCUUUUGCAGGAUGAACCAGUGGGUCGUGGAUCUCGAGGUAGGCGUGGCUUGUCAUCAAAGAGUUUCAGAGACAGAUCAAGAUGUGCAUGUGACGAUGAAAGCUUCGAAGAAUUAGUUACUUUAAUUAGUUAGCUUCCGCUAUGUUAUUUUUGUAUUCUAUUUAUAAAUCAACUCAUUAUUGAAUAUGUAUCAUUUGAGAGAAGUUCUUGUAUAUAUAUUUCAGAGUGGGGAUAGUUUUCAGAUUAAGUUUUGUAGCAUAUUUCUUAAUUGAAUGUUUAAAUAAAUGAUUUA
Long non-coding RNA from Papaver somniferum (opium poppy), 1815 nucleotides. RefSeq lists it as uncharacterized. The transcript has 3 exons. NCBI's taxonomy places the organism in Eukaryota, Viridiplantae, Streptophyta, Magnoliopsida, Ranunculales, Papaveraceae. The record is from RefSeq and is a predicted model, not a curated record.